UAACAGACAAGGGUGUGUCUUACACACACACACACACACACAAUCUGCUCAGUAAGCUACAUCACACACACUCUCUGCCUCACAGCUGCGUGCGACAGAGACAGCAGCGUGCAUGUGGACCGUUGUCUCGCAGUCUGUGUGUAUGACAGUCCAGAGUGUGGAGCAUGCUCUCUCUUUCCUGGCACGUGCGUUCAGAAAUCCUUUAGAACGACCUGUGGAAAAUUGAAGCGCUGAACAUGUUCUUCCUCGUCCACCACUGAAUGAGAUGAGCCUCCAUCUGCUGCAGUUUAUAAAGGUUUGAAAAGUCCAGUCUCACACCCCUCCCCCGCUCUGAUCUUCACUUCACACACAAACCAACACUUCAUGGAAUCCCACUCCUCCCCAUCCUGCUACUCAACAUGCACUUAUGGUCUGUGAAGAGGAUGUGUGCUGGUCUUCAAGAAACAGAAGACUAGGAAAG
Xyrauchen texanus (razorback sucker) is the source of this 460-nucleotide long non-coding RNA. RefSeq lists it as uncharacterized. The record is from RefSeq and is a predicted model, not a curated record. The transcript has 3 exons. Lineage: Eukaryota; Metazoa; Chordata; Actinopteri; Cypriniformes; Catostomidae.